Molecule: long non-coding RNA, 826 nt
Filed under: Salmo salar (Atlantic salmon)
Lineage: Eukaryota; Metazoa; Chordata; Actinopteri; Salmoniformes; Salmonidae
Description: lncRNA (ENSSSAG00000120407.1, ENSSSAG00020072985.1)
Source: RNAcentral
GUUUACAUCCCUGUUAGUAAGCAUUUAUCCUUUGCCAAGAAAAUACAUCCACCUGACAGGUGUGGCAUAUCAAUAAGCUGAUUAAACAGCAGGAUCAUUACACAGGUGCACCUCGUGCUGGGGACAAUAAAAUGCCACUCUAAAAUGUGCAGUUUAAGCUGCAUCCAAUGUCGUUUUAAAGAAUUUGGCAGUACAUCCAACCGGCCUCACAACCGCAGACCACAUGUAACCACGCCAGCCCAGGACCUCCACAUCCGGCUUCUUCACCUGCGGUAUCGUCUGAGACCAGCCACGCGGACAGCUGAUGAAACUGGUCUUGAUCUGACUGCAGUUCGGCAUCGUAUCCAACUUCAGUGGCAAAUGCUCACCUUCAUGUGGACGAGUGGUCUGCUGAUGUCAAUCUUGUGAACAGAGUGCUACAUGGUGGCCGUUGGAGUUAUGCUAAAUUGAAGACGACGGUUCCUAGUCAGAAAGGCACUACAGCACCGCCAGCUGGAUGGGGGUUUACUACUGUGCAAGGCAGCCUACAGACCAUUAGUAAAGGAGAGAGCUGUUUGAAAAUGUUACCCUGUCAAGACGAACAGCGACACGGCAUGUUGAGGACAUCGCAGAGAAUGUGGAACAACAGUUGAAAGACAAGUUUCCCAGUCUGACCGUUCUGCCUACCCUGACCCUGAGCCUGCCUGUCAUCCUGCACCUUGGCCCCACUACUCUGGAUCACCGAGUUCUGCCUGACCUGACCCUAAGCCCACCUGCUGUUACGGUGCCUUACACCCUCUCUGGAUUAUUGACCACUGUCUGCCUUAACCUGUCGUUUGCCUGCCCC